GACACCACGUGACCACGCACUCACCACUCACCAGUUAAGAAGUUCACCCUAAAUCUAAAAUCUAAAUCCCUAAUUCUUAUUUCCCCGCCUGGCCGCCUCUUCAAUUUUCUCUCACGCUGCAUCUCUAAUCUAAAUCACAGUCUUCUCCGAUUUUCUGAAUCUUCGAUACUUUCUCUGUAAAAAAAGAUCUACGAGGCUUUGAUUUGCAACUGUGUCACUCUGCAAGUUCAUUUGGUUAUAGCAUUAUAGCAUGAGGUCUUCAAAUCAGUAGCCGCAAGAUAGUUGAUUAGUUGAACAUGUUGUAGUUUGAUUUUUCUUAAUUUUUGGUAAUGCUGAAUUGCUGAUGAAAGACUUACAUGACAUGGGUUAUUUUUGCUGGUAAA
Daucus carota subsp. sativus is the source of this 383-nucleotide long non-coding RNA. RefSeq lists it as uncharacterized. NCBI's taxonomy places the organism in Eukaryota, Viridiplantae, Streptophyta, Magnoliopsida, Apiales, Apiaceae. The record is from RefSeq and is a predicted model, not a curated record. The transcript has 2 exons.